Molecule: transfer RNA, 73 nt
Filed under: Candidatus Campbellbacteria bacterium RIFCSPLOWO2_02_FULL_35_11
Lineage: Bacteria; Candidatus Campbelliibacteriota
Description: tRNA-His
Rfam family: tRNA
About the family: Transfer RNA (tRNA) molecules are approximately 80 nucleotides in length. Their secondary structure includes four short double-helical elements and three loops (D, anti-codon, and T loops). Further hydrogen bonds mediate the characteristic L-shaped molecular structure. tRNAs have two regions of fundamental functional importance: the anti-codon, which is responsible for specific mRNA codon recognition, and the 3' end, to which the tRNAs corresponding amino acid is attached (by aminoacyl-tRNA synthetases). tRNAs cope with the degeneracy of the genetic code in two manners: having more than one tRNA (with a specific anti-codon) for a particular amino acid; and 'wobble' base-pairing, i.e. permitting non-standard base-pairing at the 3rd anti-codon position.
Source: RNAcentral
GCGGUUAUGGUGUAAUGGUAACACUAGGGUUUGUGGAUCCCUCAAUCCGAGUUCAAUUCUCGGUAACCGCCCA